AGGGCUGCAGUAUAUUGACUGUACAAAGGUAGCAUAAUCAUUAGUCAUUUAAUUGAUGACUUGUAUGAAGGAUUUGAUGAGAUAUAAACUGUCUCUUAUUUAAUUAUAAAAUUUAAUUUUUUUAUUAAAAAGUUAAAAUAUUUUAAAAAGACGAGAAGACCCUAUAGAGUUUAAUAAAUUAUUAGAUUGAGAUUAUAUGUAAAACAAAUUUAAAAUAAAAUUAUUUAUUUUGUUGGGGUGACAAAAAAAUACAUUAAACUUUUUUUAUUUUAAAAACAUUUAUAAGUGAUUAAAUGAUCCAAUAAUAUUGAUUAUAAGAAAAAAUUACCUUAGGGAUAACAGCGUAAUUUUUUUUUUUAGUUCAAAUAAGAAAAAGAGUUUGCGACCUCGAUGUUGGAUUAAGAUAAAAUUUAAA
RNAcentral lists this ribosomal RNA (415 nucleotides) under Acrapex salmona. RNAcentral's name for it is "partial 16S ribosomal RNA". Lineage: Eukaryota; Metazoa; Arthropoda; Insecta; Lepidoptera; Noctuidae. The record is from RNAcentral.